GACGAACGCUGGCGGCGCGCCUAACACAUGCAAGUCGAACGGUGACGAGAGCUUCGGCUCUCUGAUCAGUGGCGGACGGGUGAGUAACACGUGAGCAACCUGGCUCUAAGAGGGGGACAACAGUUGGAAACGACUGCUAAUACCGCAUAACGUAACGAGAAGGCAUCUUUUCGUACCAAAGAUUUAUCGCUUAGAGAUGGGCUCGCGUCUGAUUAGAUAGUUGGCGGGGUAACGGCCCACCAAGUCGACGAUCAGUAGCCGGACUGAGAGGUUGAACGGCCACAUUGGGACUGAGACACGGCCCAGACU
Molecule: ribosomal RNA, 309 nt
Filed under: uncultured bacterium
Lineage: Bacteria
Description: bacterial SSU rRNA
Rfam family: Bacterial small subunit ribosomal RNA
Source: RNAcentral